Long non-coding RNA from Ziziphus jujuba (common jujube), 546 nucleotides. RefSeq lists it as uncharacterized. The transcript has 2 exons. The record is from RefSeq and is a predicted model, not a curated record. Lineage: Eukaryota; Viridiplantae; Streptophyta; Magnoliopsida; Rosales; Rhamnaceae.
UUUUAUUUUUUUAAAAACUAACCAAUAUUUUACCCGUUUGGACUAAAGUACCCUUAUCUACAAAAGCUUUCCUUUCUUCUACACAGCCGUUCGUUCGUGGGGGUGGGGUUUAUACAAAACUGUUCGUGGGGUUUCUCUAAACUCUUUGCAUCUCAUCGCCUCUCACUCUCAUUUUUUUGUAUUUUCUCAGAUCUCAAACUAAAAUCAGUCAAAUGGAAGAUGAUGACAUUGUAAUUGCGGUUUUAUACAAUGGAACAUUGAUACAAAAUGAUAGUGGUGAUUGGGAAUAUCGAAAUGGUAAAAAUGUAAUGGUUUCCGUCGGCAAGAGAUGCACAAAAUCAGAGUUAGAGGACUGUGGCAUAUUUACACUCAAGACCAUCGAAUUCUUACAUGCUAGAUUACCAUUGACAUUCACACAAGAUAACAUGGAGUUCUUUAGGAAGAAGUAUGCAUAUGAGGUUUACAACAAAGAACUUAGCAUAUGAGCUGCGUGGUGAUGCUUUUUUCUUUCCUUUUUUCAUGUUUAUAGAUGCAUAUUAUUUAUUA